GUUCUUCUCCUUCUCCAGCUUCCCUCGACUUCACUCUCACACCACAAACUCUCUUAGAACACUCCCCUCCCCCACCCCCUCUCUAAAAAAUGAAUAUUAGGGUUUUGAAAUAAGAAAAUCAAAAUCUCCAUUAAUGGCUUCUUCUUUACCUCUACCAGAGCUCAUCUUUCUCUCUCCAAAAACCAGAACUCCAAAACAUCACCACCACCUGCUUUCUCUCUCCAGACACUCUUUCUCUAAACUUAACGUUUCUGGUAAAAAAAAUAAAUUCAACCUUCCUCUUCGAACUCCAGUAACUCGAGCUGUGAAGGAGGAUACUGCUGUGAUCGAGGAGAGAGAGCGAGAAAUUUUGAAGGAACUGAAUGGAAAUGGAAACGGAAGAGUGAAUGGAUCAGUGGAGAGGUAUGUAAAUGGUGGAUUGGUGAGUGUGGAAGAGGGAGAGAGUAGUAGUAAUGAGAGUUUGGUGAAGUAUGUGAAUGGAAAUGGUGCUGCAGCCGUGGAGACAGCAGAGAUUUUGGUGGAGGAGAAGAAGGAAGGGUCGAAGGAGGAAGGAAGGCAGAAGAGGAUAGAGGAAAUCGGGAAAGAAGAUGCUUGGUUUAAGCGUGCUGGUCAACAACAGAUUGAGGUUUCUGUUGCACCUGGUGGGAGAUGGAGUAGAUUCAAGACCUAUUCAACGAUACAAAGGACUUUGGAAAUAUGGGGAUCUGUUUUAACAUUUAUCUUCAAGGCUUGGUUGAACAACCAGAAAUUCUCUUAUCGAGGAGGAAUGACGGAGGAGAAAAAAAUGGUGAGGAGGAAGGCCCUUGCCAAGUGGUUAAAGGAAAGCAUAUUAAGAUUAGGUCCAACAUUCAUAAAAAUUGGCCAGCAGUUCUCCACAAGAGUGGACAUUCUUGCUCAAGAAUAUGUUGAUCAAUUGUCUGAACUUCAGGAUCAAGUUCCUCCAUUUCCAUCAGAGACUGCUGUUUCUAUAGUUGAGGAAGAGCUUGGAGCUCCAGUGGGUGAUAUCUUUGAUCGGUUUGACUACGAACCCAUAGCUGCUGCAAGUCUUGGCCAAGUUCACCGUGCAAGAUUGAAAGGACAGGAAGUUGUGAUUAAAGUCCAAAGACCCGGUCUCAAGGAUCUUUUUGAUAUUGACCUAAAAAACCUGAGGGUAAUAGCUGAAUAUCUUCAAAAGGUUGACCCAAAGUCAGAUGGUGCAAAGAGGGACUGGGUUGCAAUAUAUGAUGAAUGUGCGAACGUCUUGUACCAGGAGAUUGAUUAUACUAUGGAAGCCUCUAAUGCAGAACUGUUUGCCAGUAAUUUCAAAGAGAUGGAGUAUGUUAAAGUCCCAGCAAUAUAUUGGGAAUACACCACACCGCAGGUUCUGACAAUGGAAUAUGUCCCAGGGAUCAAAAUAAACAAAAUUCAAGCAUUAGAUCAACUGGGUGUUGAUCGCAAAAGAUUGGGCAGAUAUGCGGUCGAAUCUUAUUUGGAACAAAUUCUAUCUCAUGGAUUCUUCCAUGCCGACCCUCAUCCAGGAAAUAUUGCUGUUGAUGAUGUCAAUGGGGGAAGGUUGAUCUUUUAUGAUUUUGGAAUGAUGGGAAGUAUCAGUCCAAACAUUCGAGAAGGGUUGCUGGAAGCAUUCUAUGGAAUUUAUGAAAAGGAUCCGGAUAAGGUCCUUGAGGCAAUGAUCCAAAUGGGUGUUCUUGUGCCUACUGGAGACAUGACAGCUGUCAGACGAACUGCACUAUUCUUUCUCAAUAGUUUCGAAGAGCGUCUUGCUGCUCAAAGAAGAGAGGGAGAAAUAGAAACAGCACAACUCGGCUUUAAAAAGCCAUUGAGCAAGGAUGAAAAAAUAGAGAAAAAGAAGCAACGUCUGGCUGCAAUAGGGGAAGAUUUAUUAUCCAUUGCAGCAGAUCAACCUUUCCGUUUUCCAGCCACUUUCACAUUUGUUGUGAGAGCAUUUUCAGUAUUGGAUGGCAUUGGGAAAGGCCUUGACCCUCGGUUUGAUAUUACGGAGAUUGCAAAACCCUAUGCACUUGAGCUGCUAAAGUUUCGCGAAGCUGGAGUUGAAGUUCUCUUGAAGGACUUCAGAAAAAGGUGGGACAGGCAGUCUCGUGCAAUCUACAACUUAUUUAGACAGGCUGAUAGAGUUCAAAAGCUUGCUGAUACUAUCCAACGAUUGGAGCAAGGUGAUUUGAAGCUCCGAGUUCGAACCCUGGAGGCUGAGAGGGCAUUCCAGCGUGUUGCAGCUGUCCAGAAGAUAGUAGGGAGUGCUGUAGCUGUUGGAAGUCUAGUAAACCUUGCAACUAUUUUAUAUCUCAAUUCCAUUCGAGUACCAGCCAUUGCGGCAUCCAUCUUUUGUGCAUUCUUCAGUUUCCAAGUCCUCUUUGGCCUUAUAAAGGUGAAAAAGUUAGAUCAACAGGAAAGGUUGAUAACAGGAACUGCUUAACUCGAUGAAACAGCCUGAACAGACCAUUGAUGGUACAUGACCCAAGUGUUUUAACAAGUGAGAUCAGCAACUUUGCGUAUACUGUUCUGUAAUAAAGAAUCAAAUGCCUUGUGGAAUUACCAUAAAACAGUGAUAGUCAAGUGACUUGUGAGGGAUUAUCUACAAUGAGCAGUGUGCUUCUUAAUGAUAUUCCCCACAAACAUUCAGAGCUGCAAGAGAGAUUUAGAGUAGAGAUUCGGCUCAUUUGAAACUCUUGAUUGCAAGUUUCCGCAUCUCAAAGAUGGAGCUUGAUGAACAUGUUAUUUGAUGUUCUUAGUUCCUAGUUCAUGGAUGAGCCAAUACCUCCAGUGUGGAGAUUUGUGAUGAAGACAUCAAGGCGGAAUACCUGUGCUGUGUUUGUCCGGAAGUUGGCCAAGAAUGUGUCUUCUUCAUUCUGAAUUUUUAUCAUGCCGCCAACAAAGCCACGUUGCUGUAAGUUUUCGUCCCAUUAGAAGCAUCCAGUUUAAGCCCUGAUGGUGAGGGAUUAGGAAGGGAUUUGCGUCUUAGCUAUACCUACAAUCAAUGUCUGCGAGUAGGUAAGCAUUCUGUCAUAAUACCACGAGUUGGCUUGUCCAUAAACCGUGUAUAAUACUAUAAUAUAAUGUAAUAAUUUUUGUUAAGUAUGAGUUAUAUAAUGAGUUCUGUUUGCGAUCCAAA
Populus trichocarpa (black cottonwood) is the source of this 3127-nucleotide RNA transcript. It is a transcript of the gene named protein ACTIVITY OF BC1 COMPLEX KINASE 8, chloroplastic, with no coding region annotated. The transcript has 22 exons. The record is from RefSeq and is a predicted model, not a curated record. NCBI's taxonomy places the organism in Eukaryota, Viridiplantae, Streptophyta, Magnoliopsida, Malpighiales, Salicaceae.